AACGAACGCUGGCGGCAUGCCUAACACAUGCAAGUCGAACGAGACCUUCGGGUCUAGUGGCGCACGGGUGCGUAACGCGUGGGAACCUGCCUUUAGGUUCGGAAUAACGCCUCGAAAGGGGUGCUAAUACCGGAUAAUGUCUUCGGACCAAAGAUUUAUCGCCUUUAGAUGGGCCCGCGUUGGAUUAGCUUGUUGGUGGA
RNAcentral lists this ribosomal RNA (200 nucleotides) under uncultured bacterium. Its description in RNAcentral is "partial 16S ribosomal RNA". It matches the Rfam family "Bacterial small subunit ribosomal RNA", at positions 29 to 256 of the family's 1533-position model. The record is from RNAcentral.